UGCUAAACAGGGAGUCCAAGUUGACCUGGGACUGUUGGAGCAAAAAAAAAUAAUUAAAAAUCGUAGCUCCGUUUACUGCCCAUCCAAACUUGCCUCAAAUUUAUUUUUUUUCUCCCGUUUUCACACCAGAAUGCUUUCUUUGUUUUUUUAUUUGAACAUUCUCUCAUUUUUCGAUAAAAGUAUCGCUAAUACAUUCGACAUCAGUUCAUCGGCUAUUCCCUGUAUCUGAUAUAUGUAUAGCAUUGUAUCUUUUUUUAUUUUAUUGUGAUGUACGUCAUAAGAAUAAGAGAAGUGCAUGUUUGGUAUGUAACAAAAGAGGCAUAAUUUGUAGUUCAGACUUCAGAGUUCUAUUGAGUGAAUACUUCAUUACAUUUUACCAAAAUGCAUUAAUUUUCUGGCAUUUUAUUCUUGGGUCAACUGGGCAAUGUUACUGUAGUCUGUAGGUUAGAAAUUAGAAUCUUCAUGUGUUUCAAUUGUGUUGCUGAUUCUGACAACAGCAUACUAUUAGUUGAUGGAUAACAUGGCAUUUCAUGCCACCUGUGUUGUUGAUGUCAGAUUCUUGGAAUUCUUGAUUUUGGUCGGGAUGCUUGGAUACA
This 596-nucleotide unclassified non-coding RNA is filed under the name Hevea brasiliensis (rubber tree). Lineage: Eukaryota; Viridiplantae; Streptophyta; Magnoliopsida; Malpighiales; Euphorbiaceae. The record is from RNAcentral.